ACUGAAUCUCUUCACACCCAUGACUCGUAUAAAUUGGCACUGUAUCAUCAACCCUCUUUUUGAUCAAAACAACUACAAUGAAAUUAAUUGAAUUAUGAAUGUUGAAAUCUCACAAGAAAAGGAUGAGAAUCAAUUGUAUAAUGAACCUAUUAGUAAUACAUCAUACCAAUUAAAUGGAUUAUAACAAGAACGACAACUAAAGACUCACUUCUAUAUUACCAAAAAAGCAACUAACCAACCUAAAUUAUAUUAUUAAUUUCAAGAAAGCCAACCAUGAAGAACUUUUAUCAAACAGUUUACGUGCACUCUAUAAAAUUAAAAAAUAAGUGAAAAAGCUUACCUCAAACGAUUCUUUGCUUGUUGUUACUCCCUUCCUUUAACAAUCAACCACCACUACAUGCACUUAUUCAUCUAACGAGUCCUAUAAAGAACACAAUCUUUUUACUGAAAAAUCAGUUCAUUCAUAUGAAGAAUGAAACCCUGAGUAGAGAAAUUGUUUCAAACCCUAAGUUGAAAGUGAAAUGAAAAUUGGGGUUCGAAAUUUUUUGAAACUGAAUAAAUCAGAUUGAAAGUGAAAUGAAAAUUGGGGUUCGAAAUUAAGGUUUAACGAAACUGAAACAUUACCUGGUGUGAGAUGCGAGUCUUCACAAACUGAGGCCAGAGAAGUGGUGGAUAGUUUCGCCAGCGGGACGGAGGAAGAGAAGCCUUAUUUUCUCAGAUGGCAGACGAUUUCUCCGACAGCGGACACGGUGGGUGACGUACGAUUUCUCGUUUUCUCUUUUCUUUGGGAAGCAAUUAAAAANNNNNNNNNNNNNNNNNNNNNNGGAGUUGUUUCUUCUCUACUUGUUUAUUUUCCCAAAUUUUAAAAAAAUAUAAAAAAAAAUAUAUAAAAUAAAUACAAUAAAAUUAUAAUAUGCUUA
This 920-nucleotide long non-coding RNA is filed under the name Trifolium pratense (red clover). RNAcentral's name for it is "long non-coding RNA (TPRA_LNC005205)". The record is from RNAcentral. Lineage: Eukaryota; Viridiplantae; Streptophyta; Magnoliopsida; Fabales; Fabaceae.